This is a long non-coding RNA of Helianthus annuus (common sunflower), 212 nucleotides long. RefSeq lists it as uncharacterized. The transcript has 3 exons. The record is from RefSeq and is a predicted model, not a curated record. NCBI's taxonomy places the organism in Eukaryota, Viridiplantae, Streptophyta, Magnoliopsida, Asterales, Asteraceae.
AAAACAACGCUCCUUCGUUGUUAAAGUUGAUUGGGGACUAUGAUCCUAUAUUUUUGGUGUUUAUUUUGGAUGGUCCGGAGUUUUUGGCUGCAACUAUGUUGGACAGAGAUAUGCUUGCUAUUGCUGUAAAUUGGUACCAUGUCGGUUGGUUUGCUUGGUAAGAUUUGUGACGAUGCGUCGGACAAACAACAUUGGGAAAAUAUACAGCCUUG